Molecule: non-coding RNA, 1500 nt
Organism: Phascolarctos cinereus (koala)
Lineage: Eukaryota; Metazoa; Chordata; Mammalia; Diprotodontia; Phascolarctidae
Source: RefSeq, a predicted model, not a curated record
UUUUAAAAAAAAAUUAAUACUUUAAAAAUACAAGUUUUUCCUACUCUUCCUGGAGGAAAGAAAAAGGAAAAUCUUAAUAUGAAGCAUGACUCAACAUGGUCCCACAAGGUUUCCCCAAAUCACCUCCCAAAUGGGAAGCCUGAACAAUCACCAUUUUCUUAAGGCCUCCAUAAGUCUUUUGAAGUCUUUUUAAUGUUGGCACAAAUAGACAGCUUCAGAAUUUAUAACGCUGGCUGAAGGACCCAAGAGACAUAGGCCCAAAAGCUUACAUGACAGCUUUUCAGGGUAACAAAAGGCUGUUCAAAUGAAAAACAAUACUCUGUGGAUUUCAUUGUGCCACUACCUAUUCUCAUACCCCAACAGAUGAAGCCCAGACACCUAUACCCAAAAGCCUGAGGAAUACCAUCAACCCCUAGACCACUGACUUUGCUUCCAAUCCAGCUCCUGAAGCCAUCAUUCAUGGAAGCCACUCCGCUGUUGCAAGUGCUGCCUCCUCAGCAGCCACAGCUACUGAAAACUGUGAAAAGAAAGUUCUUUCCAAAGUCUCUGGCAUUAUCAAAUGUUCAACUUCAGAAACAGACAUGGUUUCAUCAACAGCAAUGACAUUAAUUAAAAUUAUUAGCAUGUGCUUUGGUAUUCUACAGAGCCUUCCUAUGUAUCCUAAAGCUGAACCCUCCAAUAAAUGUUGACUCUUCCUGUUAGAAUAUAAGCUCCUUGAGGGCAACAGCUGUCUUACUUUUCUAUUUGUAUCCCCAGCACUUAGCACAGUGCUUUGUACAUAGUAAGUGAUUGACAAAUACUUUUCCCUUCAGGGGCCUAGCAGGGUUUGCAGCACUUGGCCAAAUUUCCCCAGGUUAAGGAAAUCUCGUAAGAUAGCAGCGUUCCUUUAAAAAAAAUCAAACCUUUGAUUCUAGAACCCUGAGAUUCUACCAUAAAUGGGACAUUGUUAUUCUCUACUGAAAAAGCCUAUGUACUCCAUGGUAUAGAAAAGCAACGUGAAGAACAGAAUAAUUUGUUCCAGAAUCUCACAAUUCUGAGAUGAGGGCCAGAAAGGUCAAGAGUAACUUGCUCAAGGUCACACAGGGAAGGGGCAACUGAAAUCAGCCCCAUAAUCAUGGGAUAAAGGAAAAGUGCCACAUCCCUACGCUUAUGGAACUGGAAAUAAACUGUAACCAGGCACAUGUGAAAAAGCUCAACAACUGGGUUCUCUUUUGGAAGCCAGCACAGAAUUUUCCAACACUAUCAACUCUUCUAAACUUGAUACUUCUCAAGCUGACCCUGCAGUCAUCAGGGCUCCCCAGGCGGAUCUGUUGUAAUAGGCGCUCCAGAGAUAAGAAGGCCACUGGCUCUCGGCUGCACGGGCAGGUCCGUGCUCCCUUCGCCUCCUCCCCCAUUUCGUAAGUAACUAACGCCCCGCCCCCCCCACGCACGUGGGUGACCACGGUGAGACGGAGCCACCUCACACCCAGACACUGCCACCCAAGGCCACAACGCAGCAGG